Molecule: ribosomal RNA, 205 nt
Filed under: uncultured bacterium
Lineage: Bacteria
Description: partial 16S ribosomal RNA
Rfam family: Bacterial small subunit ribosomal RNA
Source: RNAcentral
GUACGGAGGGUGCAAGCGUUAAUCGGAAUUACUGGGCGUAAAGCGCGCGUAGGCGGCUCGGUCAGUCGGGGUGUGAAAUCCCUCGGGCUCAACCUGGGAACUGCAUUCGAUACUGCCGAGCUAGAGUGUGGGAGAGGGUAGUGGAAUUCCCGGUGUAGCGGUGAAAUGCGUAGAUAUCGGGAGGAACAUCGAGUGGCGAAGGCGA